GCCACCUAUCCUGCAGAUUCUCAUAAAUGCGGCAACCUCUGAAAUUUUUAUAUCUUCAUAUCAAUAUUGAAAAAUAAGUGGAUUGAUAACUGUAUUCCUGCUAAAUAAUCAUAGACAAUAUGACGGAAAUGUCUGUUACCAAAUUGUCUCUUCGAAAUGUAGGGGCCAUGAGCGACAGGGACAAAGAACAUUUGGCGCCUAUUAUUUCGAAGAAAUCGCGGCGUGUCAAAAAGAAAAAUUUGAAAAGGAAAAUACAGCACGAGUGGUCAGAGAACGAGGUAAUUAGCUUAAUCAAAGCUGUUAAAAAACAACCGUCGAUCUGGAUGGACGGAGCAUUACAGCAAAAAUCAAAUAGAUCAGACUGCUGGAACACCAUUGUCGCUGCCCUUGCCAUAGACGGCGUCGAUGUGAACGAGGCCAAAACAAAAUGGGCCUCGCUUCGCGUCACUUACAGGCUUAAUUUCAGCAAAAUGCAAAGCGCGGGCCCGGCUAAUACCAGCACCGUGGUCUGGCGUUAUUUCGAACUCAUGUCGUUCCUGGACCAAAAUAACGCGGAUCAAUCGUUGGCUUCGCGUAAAGACCAAACCUCUAGCCCUGAAACGAAGCCCUUUACACAAACUCGGCCGACACGGGUUGUCGCUACGUCGCUCAAGAGACGUCGGACACGCGGCAAUGCUAGCUCCACAGCAUCCACACCAACGAUACCAUUGCUGCCCGCCACAGCGAGCACUUCUCUGGGUGCAUUGCCAUCGACUCCGGUUGCGCCAGGCCUGACAAGCCCAUUACCUUCUCCCACUGGCGCCUCAGAAAGUCCGGCAAGAUCGUCAUCCAGUAAAUCGGCGUCAACAACAACUCCGGCCGCCGCAUUGCAGGCUGUAGGCGCUGCUUUGCCAACUGCGGCUGGCGCAGGCUCAAAUCCGGACGCAAAUUCGGCAUUUUGCGACUAUCUUUUGUCGGAAAUGCGAACAAUUUCCAGCGACAACGCGCGUGCUCUACGACACCAAUUAUCCCGGACGUUGUUGAAAUUUCUGGAAAAUGUUAAGGAAAGUGACUUAAUGUCACAAUAGUCGUUGCCAUGAGCACCCAUCUCCAGGUAGUACACCAUUUAAUGCCAUAUCCCAUAACUACGCUAAACUCCAGCUUAAGUACAAAUUUUUUAAAUCAUUUACAGUCAAUGAAACGCGCAGCUUAUUUUAAUUCAUAUUCAUUUAGACAACACCAGGACAUUUCCAAAUCGCCUACGCUGAUUUAAAAAACAUAUAAUUUAUAUACUAUCUCAUUUGACUGCAUGUGUCAUAAAUUGAAGCCUUUGAAAAGCCAAAAAUCAUAUGUAAGUCAAUAUCUAUAAGAAAGUAGUUAAUUUAAGUUUGAGUUUAAUUAAUUUGCAUCGGUAAAUGGGAUUUAAAACAUCAUAAAAAAGUACAAAUAUUGUCUUAAGCAUUAGAAUAAGCAAUAAUAAAUAUGGAUUUACAUUUGUGGACAAUGCAG
This is a long non-coding RNA of Drosophila montana, 1488 nucleotides long. RefSeq lists it as uncharacterized. The transcript has 2 exons. The record is from RefSeq and is a predicted model, not a curated record. NCBI's taxonomy places the organism in Eukaryota, Metazoa, Arthropoda, Insecta, Diptera, Drosophilidae.